UGGGGGAUAUUGCACAAUGGAGGAAACUCUGAUGCAGCAACGCCGCGUGAGGGAAGAAGGUUUUCGGAUUGUAAACCUCUGUUUUUAGUGAAGAAACAAAUGACGGUAGCUAAAGAGGAAGCCACGGCUAACUACGUGCCAGCAGCCGCGGUAAUACGUAGGUGGCAAGCGUUGUCCGGAAUUACUGGGUGUAAAGGGUGCGCAGGCGGGACUGUAAGUUGGAUGUGAAAUACCGAGGCUUAACCUCGGAGCUGCAUCCAAAACUGCGGUUCUUGAGUGGAGUAGAGGUAAGCGGAAUUCCGAGUGUAGCGGUGAAAUGCGUAGAUAUUCGGAGGAACACCAGUGGCGAAGGCGGCUUACUGGGCUCUAACUGACGCUGAGGCACGAAAGCAUGGGUAGCAAACAGG
RNAcentral lists this ribosomal RNA (407 nucleotides) under uncultured bacterium. RNAcentral's name for it is "bacterial SSU rRNA". It matches the Rfam family "Bacterial small subunit ribosomal RNA", at positions 355 to 776 of the family's 1533-position model. The record is from RNAcentral.